Molecule: long non-coding RNA, 1233 nt
Filed under: Chrysemys picta bellii (western painted turtle)
Lineage: Eukaryota; Metazoa; Chordata; Testudines; Emydidae
Description: lncRNA (ENSCPBG00000012974.1)
Source: RNAcentral
UAGUAGUACAUUUACAACUAAAAUGAAAAAUAAGUCUAAAAGUACAUGCUUUAGUUAAUUUAUAGAUUUUAUAAUAUUACAAUAAAUUUUAAUAAUUUUAUAGAAACACUGUAAUUUAUUGUUCUAAUUUAUUGUCUACUUACAAUCUAAGUAGACAAGACACGCUGUUUCUCAAGGUUUUGUAUUGGAAUAUCUUGUGUGAACUAUUUUGACUCUCUACAGCCAUAUAAUAUUGAUAGAAAAUACACACUCUUUUUUUUGCCUUUGUGAAGCCUGCUUCUGCUUCUAUGUAUACAUAUUUGUAUAUCAGUGAAUACAUGCCAUGCUAGACAGGUUAUCAGGGAUUGUUCAGAUAAGCAAUUGAUUUCUGCACCAAAGGCACUUAGAUACUAAGUUAUCAUGGACACCAAAGAAAACCCUAAAAUAAAUACACAGAAAAGUUCUACACAUCUGUCUUACUCUGACAUAUAUGUAUACUUUCCUCCUGCAAAUCCUGGUAAUCAAUGGUGUCCUAAGAAGGGCAUAUUUUGUACCCAGUUCAACUCUGAAAGAUAAGUGGAGACUUUGAAAUCUCACGGAACUUCUACUAUGCUUAUUUUCCAUUCUUCUUAACAGGCCAGUAACCCAGGGGUCCCAUGGGUAGAACUGAACUGGUCACAUAAAGUCUUCUUGGUUGUGCUAUUCCACUGCUACCUUUGUGACAGUCUAGGUGGUAUGUGAAUAGCCAAAAAGCACAUCAAGUGCUACAUAACAAUGCAACUGCUAUUGCUUUAUUUUAGAAACUAACCUCUUGGAGAUGAUAACUCAAUGGAAGCUAUUAUUGCAAUCUCUCUCAAGCAGCAAGAGACAACAAGCCAGGAUAAUCACUCCCACUUAUGGCUCAAUACAGGUGCUGACAGAGGUAUCACUAAGUUCCAGGAAAGCACUUUUGAAGAUAAUCCUAAACUCCAGGGAGAAGUGUCAUCCAUAUUUGAUGUGUGCAAAGGCUGAAAUACCAUUUUAUCCAAUAACUGAAGACUACAUUUUUUUCUUGUAUGAACGUAUGAUGUGCACUCAAGAAAAUUCAAAGUUAACAAGACUCAUACUGCAGUUUAGAAGAAAGAAAACAAGUUGCAUUAAAUGACAUUUUCCUGUUUUAAGAGAACUGGAUGAUCAAUUAGCAUCUGUUUACUGAAAAGCUUAAUUUGCAAUAAUAAUAAUAAAUCAUGUUUGGGAUGACUAUUGUAAGAGUUC